RNAcentral lists this ribosomal RNA (387 nucleotides) under Triticum aestivum (bread wheat). RNAcentral describes it as "partial small subunit ribosomal RNA". Lineage: Eukaryota; Viridiplantae; Streptophyta; Magnoliopsida; Poales; Poaceae. The record is from RNAcentral.
AUGCACGUCAGGCUGCUGAAUCUCACGUACAACACACCACCGUUGCCGGCCGCGUGUCCAGUCACUUCAGCAGCUCCGGUCAUGCCGCAGCAGGCUGCUCUCAGCGGCAGCCGCGGGGGAGAACAAGUGGAGCGGCCUGAUGUUGAACACUACCAUGGGGAGGUUACGCAGGAGGUUACUAGCUCCCGCCGCUCCAGCGCGUCGAACGUGUUAAAGAAUAGAGAUGAUGCUGGUGGAUGGUUUCACGGCCGCGAGGCCCGCGACGAUGGGCUAGCUCCAGCAGCUUGCACGUCGGGUCGAGGUGCCGGCCGAGCUGCAUCAGGUCGCGCACUCGGUACGACGGCAGCGCGCUCAAAUCCGUCUGGGAUGAUGGAGCCUAAAUUGUGA